Gossypium arboreum is the source of this 546-nucleotide long non-coding RNA. RefSeq lists it as uncharacterized. The record is from RefSeq and is a predicted model, not a curated record. The transcript is spliced from 2 exons. Lineage: Eukaryota; Viridiplantae; Streptophyta; Magnoliopsida; Malvales; Malvaceae.
GACUAUGCAAUAUCUCUCCCUAUAAAAAGCCUAACCCCAUCUCUCAAUUCUCCUCUUACAAUCAAAAUUUUCAUUUUACCGUGAUUCCAAUUCUAUCUGGCCUCUCUGUCUCCAUACAAAAACAAAAUCAUGGAGGAAAACGAAAAGAAAAAGCUUUCAAAGAAGAAACCAACCCACAAUCUUCCACAAGGUCAUCUAGGACUGAUGCAUGGCAAAUCUUAUAUGAAAAUGGCUUCUUCCUCAUCAUAAUCUGGUGCUAUCCUACCUGAGCUUUCCUUCUUUUCUUUUCUUUUUUCUUUUUACUUAUUUAAUUAUAUAAAUAAAUAAAUAAUAUCUUCUUGACCUUGUAAGACCUUUUGUUGGGCAUGUAAAAGGCAGUCCAGUAUUUGGUGUUAUAGUAGUGGUUGGGUAUUGUUCUACACCAUUGCCACCCAUCUCUUCUUCUCCUUCCUUGUCUAUCCCUCCUGAGCUGAACUCUUUAACCUUUGUAAUAACACUACUGCUGUUCUUUUUCAUUUAUUAAGAGUAAAAGCUUUCACUUUCUUA